Molecule: non-coding RNA, 547 nt
Organism: Pelodiscus sinensis (Chinese soft-shelled turtle)
Lineage: Eukaryota; Metazoa; Chordata; Testudines; Trionychidae
Source: RefSeq, a predicted model, not a curated record
UUCCUGGUGUUCCUUGGACACCUAUCUUCCUGGUACCAAGCUCCUCCUUCCCUGCUUUGGAAUUAACUCAGGAAUCCUGGAACACUGAAUGUUUGAAUGGUACUCACUGAAGUCAGUAGAAAAAAUCCCUUUGCCGUCCCGUGGGAAUGAGACCUAUAGUACCUUUCAAGACCAACUCUCUCAUUCCACAACCUCUCAAGGAGUUUCCAAAUACCUUUUGCUUGAAUGAAGCAGAUCUGGAUCUCAUCAGUGAAAUACCUCUAAUUGGCAAGUAGGCAAACAGAGACCAAGACUAUACAUACUGGCUGGAUAUCUAGUUUUCACCUAUCACAAAGAAGAUCAGAACAAAACUGAAUACAUUAAGAAAUUACUCACUCAUUCCUCAUGGUUUUUACUUGAAACCCAUUUUCACUGUACUAAAAAACGCUUUUCACUUUUCUACAUGCUCCUUAUGAAGAAGGCUGCACUGACUGUUUGUUUAACCAUGUUUCCAGCUCAGUUUGUCACUAGUUUUAUGAUUCAGAAAACAUCUGAAAUAAAGGUUAAC